GAUGAAGAACGUAGCCAAAUGCGAUACGUAAUGUGAAUUGCAGAAUUCAGUGAAUCAUCGAGUCUUUGAACGCACAUUGCGCCCCCUGGUAUUCCGGGGGGCAUGCCUGUCCGAGCGUCAUUGCUGCCCUCAAGCACGGCUUGUGUGUUGGGCCUCCGUCCUCCUCCCGGGGGACGGGCCCGAAAGGCAGCGGCGGCACCGCGUCCGGUCCUCGAGCGUAUGGGGCUUCGUCACCCGCUCUUGUAGGCCCGGCCGGCGCUUGCCGACACAUCAAUCUUUUUUCCAGGUUGACCUCGGAUCAGGUAGGGAUACCCGCUGAACUUAAGCAUAUCAAUAAGCGGAGGA
Molecule: unclassified non-coding RNA, 345 nt
Filed under: soil metagenome
Description: partial contains 5.8S ribosomal RNA, internal transcribed spacer 2, and large subunit ribosomal RNA
Rfam family: 5.8S ribosomal RNA (bases 1-120)
Source: RNAcentral